UAGAAAUAGGAAAAGGAAGUUUCUAUUUAGGUUAGGUUUGUGUUUUUCAUAUCCCACAUGUUAAAGGGAAUUGUCUUUCAUAUAAAUAUAGGUCUAAUGGAGAGGUGUUCCAUAUGAUCUGAGAGAAACAUAUUGAGAACUUUAGUUUUGAGUAGUUUCUAAAGCUAAUAAGAAAAGUUGUUCUUAUAACUCUCUGUGUUUCUAAGAGAUCUGAGGCGAUACCUGGCAACAAAAUUAUCUGUUGAUAAAAGAUCACGAUGAAAUUACGUUUUGGGUUCUUCAAAGUUGAUUUGAUGUUACCAUCUCGUCGGUGGAUUUGAGCUCUGUUCAGUACCAUUUUGGGUGUUACUCUUCAUCUCUACGUUGAAGUUUUGCUUCAAAGCGUAAAAAAGACCAGUUCAAGUUCUCUAACCUAGAGCAACGAUCUGUCACUCAGUUCUGAUUGGGUCAGUUGGAUC
RNAcentral lists this long non-coding RNA (458 nucleotides) under Brassica napus (rape). RNAcentral describes it as "long non-coding RNA (BNAP_LNC013651)". The record is from RNAcentral. Lineage: Eukaryota; Viridiplantae; Streptophyta; Magnoliopsida; Brassicales; Brassicaceae.